Molecule: ribosomal RNA, 465 nt
Filed under: uncultured Staphylococcus sp.
Lineage: Bacteria; Bacillati; Bacillota; Bacilli; Caryophanales; Staphylococcaceae
Description: bacterial SSU rRNA
Rfam family: Bacterial small subunit ribosomal RNA
Source: RNAcentral
CCUACGGGAGGCAGCAGUAGGGAAUCUUCCGCAAUGGGCGAAAGCCUGACGGAGCAACGCCGCGUGAGUGAUGAAGGUCUUCGGAUCGUAAAACUCUGUUAUUAGGGAAGAACAAAUGUGUAAGUAACUAUGCACGUCUUGACGGUACAUAAUCAGAAAGCCACGGCUAACUACGUGCCAGCAGCCGCGGUAAUACGUAGGUGGCAAGCGUUAUCCGGAAUUAUUGGGCGUAAAGCGCGCGUAGGCGGUUUUUUAAGUCUGAUGUGAAAGCCCACGGCUCAACCGUGGAGGGUCAUUGGAAACUGGAAAACUUGAGUGCAGAAGAGGAAAGUGGAAUUCCAUGGGUAGCGGUGAAAUGCGCAGAGAUAUGGAGGAACACCAGUGGCGAAGGCGACUUUCUGGUCUGUAACUGACGCUGAUGUGCGAAAGCGUGGGGAUCAAACAGGAUUAGAUACCCCUGUAGUC